CGUUCAUGGCUCAGUUGGGUGGAGCAGUGGUUUGUGGCACCAAUCUUUGUCUAGGUGCCGAGCAUGCGUUCGAUCCGAACAAGAUCGCC
RNAcentral lists this transfer RNA (89 nucleotides) under Prosthecobacter gellanilyticus. Its description in RNAcentral is "tRNA-His". Lineage: Bacteria; Pseudomonadati; Verrucomicrobiota; Verrucomicrobiia; Verrucomicrobiales; Verrucomicrobiaceae. The record is from RNAcentral.